RNAcentral lists this ribosomal RNA (491 nucleotides) under uncultured bacterium. RNAcentral's name for it is "partial 16S ribosomal RNA". It matches the Rfam family "Bacterial small subunit ribosomal RNA", at positions 29 to 507 of the family's 1533-position model. The record is from RNAcentral.
AGUGAACGCUGGCGGUAGGCCUAACACAUGCAAGUCGAACGGCAGCACAGUAAGAGCUUGCUCUUACGGGUGGCGAGUGGCGGACGGGUGAGGAAUACAUCGGAAUCUACUUUUUCGUGGGGGAUAACGUAGGGAAACUUACGCUAAUACCGCAUACGACCUACGGGUGAAAGCGGGGGAUCUUCGGACCUUGCGCGAUUGAAUGAGCCGAUGUCGGAUUAGCUAGUUGGCGGGGUAAAGGCCCACCAAGGCGACGAUCCGUAGCUGGUCUGAGAGGAUGAUCAGCCACACUGGAACUGAGACACGGUCCAGACUCCUACGGGAGGCAGCAGUGGGAAUAUUGGACAAUGGGCGCAAGCCUGAUCCAGCCAUACCGCGUGGGUGAAGAAGGCCUUCGGGUUGUAAAGCCCUUUUGUUGGGAAAGAAAAGCAGCAGGUUAAUACCCCGCUGUUCUGACGGUACCCAAAGAAUAAGCACCGGCUAACUUCGUG